AGGCAUCCCCCGCUCUGAUCCUGUUGUCUGUCUGUAUGUUUGUUUUCUCUGUCUGUGCAUCAUGGUUCCUGUUGCCAUGCAACCUGGGGAGGUGUGGCCUCCUUCACUCAUCACCUGUUCCUGCUCAGCCUAAUCACCAUCACCUGUUCCUGCUCAGCCUAAUCACCAGCACCCACCUGUUUCUCAUCAUCAUCACCACCAGCUCUUAUACCGUGACCUGACAUCCAGUCCCUGUCGGAUCGUUAGUCUACCUAUAAUCCUGCUACGGACCAUCAACACUCUACACCUCCGGAUUGUCUUCACUCCCCUGCCGUCACAGCUUUUUCCUCUGCUUCACCUGGGUUGGUCAUCUGGUUCACGGAUUAGUUUCAACAAACUUUCAUUGAGCU
Molecule: long non-coding RNA, 389 nt
Organism: Etheostoma cragini (Arkansas darter)
Lineage: Eukaryota; Metazoa; Chordata; Actinopteri; Perciformes; Percidae
Exons: 2
Source: RefSeq, a predicted model, not a curated record